CAGCCGCCGCGGUAAUACCGGCGGCCCGAGUGGCGGUCACUAUUAUUGGGCUUAAAGCGUCCGUAGCCGGGUUGGGAAGUCCUCCGGGAAAUCUGGCCGCUUAACGGUCAGAAUGCCGGAGGAUACUCCCAGCCUAGGGAGCGGGAGAGGCCGAGGGGAUUCCCGGAGUAGGGGUGGAAUCCUAUAAUCCCGGGAGGGCCACCUGUGGCGAAGGCGCCCGGCUGGAACGCGUCCGACGGUGAGGGACGAAGGCCAGGGGAGCAAACCGGAUUAGAUACCCGGGUAGUCCUGGCGGUAAACGAUGCGGACUUUGUGUCGGACAAGCUAUGAGCUUGUCCGGUGCCGGAGGGAAACCGUUAAGUCCGCCGCCUGGGGAGUACGGCCGCAAGGCUGAAACUUAAAGGAAUUGGCGGG
RNAcentral lists this ribosomal RNA (414 nucleotides) under uncultured microorganism. RNAcentral's name for it is "bacterial SSU rRNA". It matches the Rfam family "Archaeal small subunit ribosomal RNA", at positions 459 to 872 of the family's 1478-position model. The record is from RNAcentral.